Molecule: ribosomal RNA, 460 nt
Filed under: Lygisaurus absconditus
Lineage: Eukaryota; Metazoa; Chordata; Lepidosauria; Squamata; Scincidae
Description: Lygisaurus abscondita partial 16S ribosomal RNA
Rfam family: Bacterial large subunit ribosomal RNA
Source: RNAcentral
GUAUUAAAGGUGCUGCCUGCCCAGUGAAACAUUUCAACGGCCGCGGUAUCCUAACCGUGCAAAGGUAGCGUAAUCACUUGUCUUCUAAAUAAAGACUCGUAUGAAAGGCUAAAUGAAGACAAAACUGUCUCUUAUAGUUGACCAGUAAAACUGAUCUCCAAGUACAAAAGCUUGGAUAAACACAUAAGACGAGAAGACCCUGUGGAGCUUUAAACUACACUAUUACAACAAAUAGCAUAAGUUUUAAGUUGGGGCGACUUCGGAAUAAAAUAAAACUUCCGAGCACAGAGACAAUAACUCUAACACAGACCAACAAGUCAAAGAACAAUAAUGACCCAGUCACACUGAACAACGAACCAAGUUACCCCAGGGAUAACAGCGCCAUCUUCUUCAAGAGUCCAUAUCGACAAGAAGGUUUACGACCUCGAUGUUGGAUCAGGACACCCAAAUGGUGCAGAAG